This 142-nucleotide unclassified non-coding RNA is filed under the name uncultured fungus. RNAcentral describes it as "sequence contains ITS1". Lineage: Eukaryota; Fungi. The record is from RNAcentral.
CCAGGUCCCCGCAUCAGGAGCGGAAGCCCCACCCCGUGUGAUCGAUAUAGUCGUUGCCCUCGAGGAACCGGCUGGCCUAGCCUAGGUCCCCAAGAGGCGCUCACUCUGGUAUACGAGGUCGUCAGAGUCGUAGAAAUACUAA